GGCCGUGUGGCGAAAUGGCAUCGCGUCUGACUACGAUUUGUUCAUCAGGAGAUUGCAGGUUCGACCCCUGUCUCGGUCA
This is a non-coding RNA of Tephrocybe sp. NHM501043, 79 nucleotides long. The record is from the annotation of a GenBank genome assembly. Lineage: Eukaryota; Fungi; Basidiomycota; Agaricomycetes; Agaricales; Lyophyllaceae.